Molecule: ribosomal RNA, 842 nt
Filed under: uncultured bacterium
Lineage: Bacteria
Description: bacterial SSU rRNA
Rfam family: Bacterial small subunit ribosomal RNA
Source: RNAcentral
AGAGUUUGAUUCUGGCUCAGGACGAACGCUGGCGGCAUGCCUAACACAUGCAAGUCGAACGGAGUUCACUUUUUAGAUCCUUUCGGGGUGACGAGAUUUGAACUUAGUGGCGGACGGGUGAGUAACGCGUGGGUAACCUGCCCUUUUGUGGGGAACAACUUCGAGAAAUUGAAGCUAAUACCGCAUAAACUUUAGGAGUCGCAUGACUCUAAAAGGAAAGAUGGCCUCUCGGUGAAGCUAUCGCAAAAGGAUGGACCCGCGUCUGAUUAGCUAGUUGGAAGGGUAACGGCCUACCAAGGCGACGAUCAGUAGCCGGCCUGAGAGGGUGAACGGCCACAUUGGGACUGAGACACGGCCCAAACUCCUACGGGAGGCAGCAGUGGGGAAUCUUCCGCAAUGGGCGAAAGCCUGACGGAGCAAUGCCGCGUGAGUGAAGAAGGCCUUCGGGUUGUAAAACUCUGUCCUUAUUGAAGAGAGGUAUCAGUGUGAAUAAUGCUGAUAUAGGACGGUAAAUAAGGAGGAAGCCCCGGCUAACUACGUGCCAGCAGCCGCGGUAAUACGUAGGGGGCGAGCGUUGUCCGGAAUCACUGGGCGUAAAGGGCGCGUAGGCGGUUUAAUAAGUCAGUGGUGAAAACUAUGGGCUCAACCCAUAGCCUGCCACUGAUACUGUUAGACUUGAGUAUGGAAGAGGAGAAUGGAAUUCCUAGUGUAGCGGUGAAAUGCGUAGAUAUUAGGAGGAACACCAGUGGCGAAGGCGAUUCUCUGGGCCAAAACUGACGCUGAGGCGCGAAAGCGUGGGGAGCAAACAGGAUUAGAUACCCUGGUAGUCCACGCCGUAAACG